Molecule: ribosomal RNA, 615 nt
Filed under: Triticum aestivum (bread wheat)
Lineage: Eukaryota; Viridiplantae; Streptophyta; Magnoliopsida; Poales; Poaceae
Description: partial small subunit ribosomal RNA
Source: RNAcentral
AUGGAGGCCGGGAACGACGGCCCGUCGACCCCGGUGCUGCUCAACGUGUACGACCUCACGCCCGUCAACGAUUACCUCUACUGGCUCGGCUUCGGCGUCUUCCACUCCGGAAUCGAAGUUCAUGGCAUGGAAUAUGGAUUUGGAGCACAUGAUUUCUCAUCCAGCGGUGUAUUUGAGGUGGAAUCGAAAUGUUGCCCUGGAUUUGUCUAUAGAAAGACGGUGUCGCUAGGCACAACUGACAUGUCUCGGGAAGAUUUCCGCUCGUUCAUUGAAAGACUUGCAGGGAAGUAUCAUGGCAAUACAUAUAAUUUGAUUGCGAAGAACUGCAAUCAUUUCACAGAUGAUGUCUGUAGGAGCUUGACUGGAAAACCCAUCCCUGGCUGGGUGAAUAGGUUGGCCAGAGUAGGCUCAGUUUUUGACUGUCUACUACCAGAAAGUGUCCAAGUUUCUCCUGUUGGACGUGUCCCAACUCUUCGUCCAGUUAUUGAUGAUGAUUUGGAUUCGGUAUCUUCUUCGGACAGCGAUGAGGGUGAUGACAAGCACCUGUUGGAAGCACCAUCCACUGACUUGCAACCUGUAGAAGUGCCAUUAAAGCUAGCCAAAGAUCUUCUUUGA